AUGAACGCUGGCGGCGUGCUUAACACAUGCAAGUCGAACGGGGAACAAAUUAUUGAAGCUUCGGCAGAUCUAGCUUGUUCCUAGUGGCGGACGGGUGAGUAACGCGUGGGUAACCUGCCUCACACUGGGGGAUAACAGUCAGAAAUGGCUGCUAAUACCGCAUAAGCGCAUAGUACCGCAUGGUACAGUGUGAAAAACUCCGGUGGUGUGAGAUGGACCCGCGUUGGAUUAGCUAGUUGGCAGGGCAGCGGCCUACCAAGGCGACGAUCCAUAGCCGGCCUGAGAGGGUGAACGGCCACAUUGGGACUGAGACACGGCCCAGACUCCUACGGGAGGCAGCAGUGGGGAAUAUUGCACAAUGGGGGAAACCCUGAUGCAGCGACGCCGCGUGAAGGAAGAAGUAUCUCGGUAUGUAAACUUCUAUCAGCAGGGAAGAAA
RNAcentral lists this ribosomal RNA (438 nucleotides) under uncultured bacterium. Its description in RNAcentral is "bacterial SSU rRNA". It matches the Rfam family "Bacterial small subunit ribosomal RNA", at positions 29 to 450 of the family's 1533-position model. The record is from RNAcentral.